CGUUCCCCCGAGCCUGUGGGGCGGUUCUGCGUCCCCUGCCCGCUCCUCUCCUCUCCACGGUGGGGUGCGGCUCGGGGGAGAGACGCGUUCUGGGCAAUUUUCUAAAGUUGGGAACGACUGAAAGGCCUUGAGCAGUUUGGGAGCGUCGCGAGUGAGGUGCUGAAGCUGGGCAGAGGGUCGCUGGGGGCUGCCUCCGCAGAAAGGGCGUGUCCGUGGGCGAAGGUGCCCCCGCAAGCCUGCGGAAGCGCGUGACUUCGCGAAUCCCGGGCCCGGGGCGGUGCCGGAGCCCCACCCCCGGCCGGCCGCGCCGCUCCGCAACCAGACUAGGCGGUCGAGCUGGGGAGGGGGCGGGGGUCCGGGGGCUGGGUCCCCGCGGAACUUCCAGAUCGGAAGUGUGGCGGGUCUCUCAGGAACGCAUAUUUUCUUUUCGGAUUCUCCGAGAAGGGGUGGAGAAACAGGAUGGGAACCGGAUUGGUUGCAGUGUGGCACAGACCUGGAACCUUCCUGAAAGAGGUUGGGGCAGGCAGUGACUGUUCAGACGUCCAAUCUCUUUGGGACACCUCUUCAGCGCUGUCUUCCCUGCCUCUGCCUUUAGGACGAGUCUCAAACACCAACAAACUCAAGGCACGUCCCCUCUCUCAGGUCAGCUGCGAAGGGACGGGAGCAAGAGAGAGCCUCUCCCUCCUUCUACUUCGAGUUUUUGUUUGUUUGUUUCAAAAUAUUAAUGGACGAUAAAACAACACGGAUUUGUCACCUCCUAGCGAAGAGGAAGCUACCGCCACCAACCCCCUCAAGCAUGCCCGGGCACUUCUGGGGACAAUCGGACGUGGCAGGAGUUGGCAUGCCCAAGAUGGAGCUGGGAAGGAUGACCCAGAGUGGAAGGCGUGGGCCGGUGCUCCAGGUCUCAGCUUUCGCCGGCGUCGAACCACACAACUUUGCCAGCUUUGCACUUUGCCUUUCCCUAUUGUGAGGCAUCUGGGACCGUCCUAUCAAGGCGCUUCAAAAGUGUAAGGACAGAGUGCUGGGGACAGGAACGUACCAGGGGCCCAGAAGAAUUCACUAGCGCGGCCAAACACUAAGACCAGGUUUCCUCCCUGCGUAGUGGUCGUUGGUUGUGCACGGGCUGCGCACGAAGACUGAAUUUCUGAGAAAUGGAAACUGCAGGAGAAAAAUCAAAUAAACUUAGAGGCCUGCGAAGCUCUCCCUCUCGUCGCUCUGGGAUCCCUCUAAGCUGACCUGCAACUCAUACACCUUCUCCCCCUGGAGGAUGGGCCUUUCCCAGGCACAAAGUGCGUGUGCCCCACUGGGCUUUUGCACACAAGAGUGGUCUGAAUCCUGGAGAGGCUGACACCGAGGUGUCUUGAAGGAGGCAGGCACACUCUCAUGCUUCCCCACCUAGGGUUUCGCCUUUCUUCUAAUAUUUAGGAUUCCCAGUGAAGGGUACUCCACACACACCCUCUCCCUACCCCUAAUCCCACCCCAUUGUGUCUGAUCCCACAAUUACUCCCAGGGUAUCUAAACUCACAGUUUUUGCGCUCAAAAAACAUUGCUGUCUGCAGGGAACGGGUGGAGCCCUUCUCAGAAGCUCCCGGGGGCGAGUCCAUUUUAAGAAUGAGUUGAAGUAGGAAAGAAAACACAGAUGCUGUCUUUGCAUUCGACAUUCUAUCACCAGCAAGAGAAUAUGUAACUCCUGUUCUUUCCUUCAUUAUUCCAUGAAUUACCUUCUUUCUCUAGGGAUCCACCAGUUGGUGAUUUAGGGCUUUUAAAUAUUGUGCUUGUUAUGUAUUUAACAAAAUGCAAUAUGUCUACUGGUGGCAUUGUUUCAUUGGGAAAUUAGAAAAGUAGAAGCUACAUACUUUAGCUCCUAGGUGGUCUCUAGAAAGUUGGCCUCAUGCUGGUUGGCUAAAUAAUAAGUGUUUAGGAUUUGAAAGAAAGAAAGAGAGUUGAAGGCCUGGUGACAGAGUUUGUGAGAAACCAAAGAUGUAACACUCUGGCAUUUGUUGAGGGGAUGAGGAAGAACUUUUGAAAAAUAAGCUAUUCUAUUCAGUUUCGUGCAGAUUUAUUGCAGUUGCUUCAUCGAAGAAGAGUAAUGUUUAGAGUGGAAUAAUUGCAGAUGCUAGUGAUGAAAUCUAAAGGAAACCUCUACUCAUAGUUAACAAAGUAUUUUGUUGUUGUUGUUUAAAUACUUAUCUCAUUGCUUUCUUUCCUUUGCAGAAUCAUUUUCCUAUAAAAGCUUCCAUUAGGUGUCAGUCUGACUGAACUGGUUCUUAUUUAAGUUUGGGGUGAAAAUGUUCCAUCAUCAGACCUUUUAAGAUAAGAAAGUGGGAAAAAUUAAAACUUUAUUAAGUUGAAAUUACUGGAGGUAAUUUUUAUUGUUACAAGGCAGCUUUUUUCUUUCCAGAAAAAUAAUGUAAAAGUCUAUCACCACUAGUCAAUUACUGAUUUUGCCCUGUCACUGUCCAUAGCCAAGAUUAAGGAAGUACAAAAUGCUUGUUUGUGCUUUUCAUGCUAGAUGCAAGUAGUAUUAAGUAGUCAUAAUUUUUGGAUGGCUUUUCAAUUGAUGUCCUAAUACUAGAAGGGUAAGCAGCCUUUUUCUAAUAUUUGUUUUGCUUUACAAAGGUGAUAGAAAUUUUUCCUGAAAAAAGGAACAUAGAUUCAGCUUAAGCUGUUCAUUUGACAAUACUGAGGGCACAGUAAAGGAGAAGGGAGACAAAUUGUGAAAAUUACUUUUGUCCACUAGUUUUACUUUAAUAAAGCCUGCCUAAAUACUCAGAAUUUAUGAACACAAUUUGUGAUGUAUAGGUGGGAGAUUUUAGGUUGCCCAUUUAAAUUUAUAUAAUGUCUAUAAAUGAUCAAUUUUAUACUAUAAUAUUCAUUAAUAAGUGUAAGAAGAAACAUCAGCUUGAUUGGUCGUUUGCUACCGGGUCCCAAGUAAGCAGAUUGAUAGAAACUGCAUUUUUCAGAAAAUUUGCUUAUUUUAUUCUUUGUAUUUGUGAAUCCUGUUCUGAUGUUGUUGCUUGAAUAGAAUUGUGGGGAGUGGUGAUGGUAUUCAUGGUUAAAGAUCCAUAGAGCAUCAUGACAACCCCGUGAACUUUCCCCGAGGCCAUUGUGAGCCCUAGAAUGAUGUGGCUGUUGGUGUCAGAGCAAUGGCAAUCUAGAACCAGAACAGAGGUCCCAGUGAAAGUCCAAGCAACGGCAAGAAACGAUGAAGUAGCAUUUUGAUGGAAGGAAUAUUCCAUAAACCCUAUUAUCAAUUUUUGUCUUAUAUUCCACAUUAGUCAUGAGAAAUACUCAAAUAUAAAAAUAUACAACAAAGAUAGAGAUGAUGGGUAUAUUGGGAAACAUUUUUGUGUUUUAUGUAGGGCAGAGGAGAAGUACUAAGGACAUAGAAAGAAAGACAGUAUAAGGCCAUCACAGUUGUUCACCAUCUUGUCAAUAUAUACAGGUGCAGCUACCAUUGUAUUACAGAAAUGACAGAAUGAUGUUCUUACAGUGUUGGAAAGUAGUGUGUUCUGCAUAGGAGACUUACUAUUUAAAAGUAAAUUUCUUUUGGAUGUAUUUUCAUUAAGAAGAAAAAAUGUAAUAAUGACAUCAGAAUAUUUAAGGACUUUUAAAUCAUUUAGCUAUUGAAUUUAGUUAUUGAUAGCUGUACAACUAUAAACACGAAUGCUAAAUAGAUUUUAAGCAAAUAGCUUUGUAGUACAAUUUGUUUUUUAAAUGUUUUCAGAUUUUUAUCUUAGUGCUUAUACUUUAAAUCAUGACUUACAAGUCUUAUGUUUAAGUCUAGAAAACAUUUUGCAUGGGUGUAUAAAAUAAACAUUUUAGUUGAGGAAACAAUGCAGUUCAUCCAAAAAAAACAUAAGCCAGAAAAGAUAUAUUAUAAAAUUUAAAAUUUCUUGAAAUGUGUUUAUUACCCAGCAAUUAGUCGAGUUUGUGGAGUGCAGCCUAACAAUAAAAUCAGUAUAUCUGUAUAUUUGUAUCAUUGACCAGCUCAAAAAUGUAUUGCCAGCUAUAUCUUGUGAGUUCUGAGUUCUGUUAUCCUGGCUAAUAAUAAUGUGAGCUAAGCAAGGCAGUCUGAUCUUCAACACAAUUACAAUAUUAUAAUGCAUAUGCAAGGGUAAAGACAACACUUCAUUUGCUUUGUUUGUGGAAAAGGCCUUUGAGACUCCUAGUAUUUGAAAAUAUAUACAUAUAUAGUAGAUCAAGCUAGAACCAAAUGUUAAAAACCUGAGUCCUAAAGCAUGCAGUUCAAAGAUAUUAAAUAAGGGUUAUUGCCUUUAUUAAUUUUGAACCAAUACUGAAUCUCGUUCAGUUAAAUUACAAACUAAAGAAGACAUUUUGCUGGAAUCUGUUAAUAUUAUGUUUUCAGUUCAAAUGCAAUUUAUAUCAUAAUAUGCUUUUUAAAAAGUUGACAAACUAUAUUACAAUAGUGACAUAAUUGCAUAAUUUGAAAGUAGUGUCUAUUUGUAAACUUGAAUGAAAUGUGUGCUUUUUGGAAACACUUUUUCUGAAAAGAUUAUUUUUAUAAAAAUGAUACAUUUUAAUUGGAAAAUUGAUAUUUCUUGCAAUUUUGUUUUUAAAAUUUGUAUUCAAUACAUGAGUGAGUAUUAAUUGUUUGAAGCCUAUUUUUGUCUCUCUAAGCUAGUGUAGUCAAUUUCAAGAACUGGUUCAAACAAGUCUCAAGAUAAACUAAAAAUUACUCAUUUAAAAUAGUUUUUUAUAUAUCUGCCAAACAGUCCACUAGCUUUUGUACUCCAAGAAGAAUGAAUGAAUGAAUGAAUGAAUGAAUGAAUGUCAUGCCUGCUAUUCUGUCAGAAGCAGAUAUGAGAAAAAGAUCUUUUCCUUUGUAAUAGAAAUAUAUCAUGAUAAGACUUCCAAAUAUCCUGGAUUGUUUUACAGAUAACUACACAGGAAUUAAAGUUGUAGAAUGAUUACUUUAUGGAUCCAGUUUCAUGUAGUUUUUUUUCAUAACUGUUAUUUAUAUAGGAUUUGGUGUUUACUGAAACAAAGCAAAUUAGAGAAUUGAGGCCGUUACACCAAGAAAUCUCAAAUUUCAUUUUGUCCCUCAAUGACAUGAUACUUAAGGAGAGAGAAUCUCUCCUGUGGUAGAAAGAACUUUGGAAUAAGACUAGAAAAUCUGAUUUCGAGUACAGAUUCUGUUGUGAACUAUGACAAUGGACCUGUCACACAGCUUGCCUUGUCUUCAGUUGUCUCAUCCAUAAGAAGGGCUAGAUUUAGAUUCGCCUAAAGCCUUUUUACCUCUUUAGGGUUCCCUUUCAAAGAAAGUCUUUUUUUUUGUGUGUGUGUGUGUGUGUGUGUGUGGUCUGAAUCUAUUCUUCAUUUCAUGUAAAGAUGGCGUGCCAAUUGAUAUCACAACUAAGAAGCUUUUAAAAAGUAUUCACCAACAUUUUAUCUUGGUAUUAAAUAAUAAAAUGGUCUUUAAGAUUUUUACUUAAAUUCUUAAAGCAUGAAACACAUGGAAAUAUUUGUUGCUUUUUCAUACUUCAUUUUUUAUUUGAAGUUUUAGUAGGGAAAAAAAGCCCCCAAAGAAUGCUUUACAGAUUCAUUCUAAUGUGUUAGCAUGGGAGUACAUGCAUAUGUAUAUCUGUAUAAUAAAUUUGAAGCUACUCAAACCGUAGAUCUAUCUUCAUAAGCAUUUUAGCCUAAUGAGGCCAAAUCACAAACAACUCUAUUCAAAGUUGAUUUAUAUGAUUGUAGCGGAUAAAGAAUGAACAUGAAGAGUUGGCCUCUAAAAAUGUUUACUCCUGUGUAAAUGUUUAUACUAUUAAAUUCAAUUACAAUAUUUGGAAGAGCGUGAAAAUUACUGUGUUUGUUUCCAUUCUGUUAAAAGGACCAAUAAUUGUCUAGGAUAUUUAAUUCUUCUAAAAUGGUUAAUCUUUUAAAAUACCUAGUCCAGUGUUUGGCACAUAGUAGGUGCUCUAAAUAUUUAUGAAUUUUGUGAAAGCAAUGAUAUCCUUUUGGGGCAUAUGUUAAUAUAAAUUUUACAUUUUUUCAUAAUUACUUAAAGUCACUAUUAUAUAAAAUGAUUGUUGUACUGCAUAUAUUUAAGUUUGAUUUAAUGUUAGACAUAAAUUUUAAUUCUCAGAUUUGUGUACUAAUAGUGCAGUUCUUCUUUGCCAGGAAAGAAAAUACAUUGUCUCUAGUUAUUUGAUAUAACUUUUAAAUAAUGGAAAAAUCCAUGAGAACAUUGCUUUUAAGCUGGUAUUCUUUUUGAAACUCCAAGUAGCUGUUUAAUCUACUACUGAAAUAGAAAAUUUUAGUCCAUGUGAAUGUUACCUAAUGUAUUUUAUUUAAUAUUAAAUGUAUACAUAUUUGUAAGAAUUUAUAAAGUUUUAAGAAGUAAUCAAUAGAAACGUACUUUAUGCAAUAUAAUAAUUACUGUGAUAGGUAUGUUUUCAAAGCUAAAGAUCUGUAUAACUUUUUUCUUAAUUUUAAAAAAUUAUUUACUAGGAAAACAGACUAAGUUACAAUUUUAUUUGAAAGGUGUGACUCUCUGGGAUGGUCAAUGUAUAGUAAAUAUAAGUUGACUUUUUAAUCACAAAAUAAUACACUCAUUGUCUAAAAAUUAAAAUAAUAUGCUUUAUCAGCUAUUGCUUUAAUCAGAUAGUUUACAUGCUAUCCAUUCUCAGUUUAAUUAUGGGUAUAAAAUAUUAUGUCCAUUGAAAACUUUGACUGAUUUGUGUGCUACAUGGAAUCAAACACAAAAAGAAUAGAGAUUUAAAGAGAAAAAAUUAAUUAAAAAAUAAAAACUGAGAAUAAGUUCAAUAAAAGUUCUACAAAGUUUUCAAAAGUAAUUGCCUUCAAAUAUGUAUCUGGGGGUAGGAGUAUGCGGUUUGGAAGUCAUUUAUUCAUACUUUUAUUAAAAUAUCUCAUGUUCCUUUUUGUUGUUGGAUGUGGUUGUCCAUAAAACAGCUUUGAGAUUGUUUUAAUAUUAUAUAUUAGAACAGAGUUAAAAUAGGGAGAUUCUUUACCACAAACAAGCAGGUUUCUGUUAGUUGUGAAUGCUAUGUUUAUUAAAAAUAGUGAGUGAUGUUAAACUUUUGAGGCAGUUUCACAUUUACAUUUGGUGAUUUGUGUAAUUAACAAUUGGAUUUGACAAGAGAAAAGGGACAAUUAUAGCAAGUAACAGUAUUAAUGAUGUGGACUGGAGUGAAGAAUGUACAGAUUUUGGUGAUGUAUUAAGUAACAAUAAUGAAAUUCCUGGUGUCUGGGACCAGUACACCUUGAAAAAAUAUCAAUUUUAGAAAACGUUAGAAGAGGUCUUGUUUGUUAUAUGGUACCCUUUGCCGUGUUGUGAUGCAUAGUGUUCAAUAUUGAUUUUAUAUAGUUUAUCUGUGUAGAAGGAUUCUUUCAUCGUAGAAGGAUUCUUUCAUAGCAUGAGUGACAAGUGUAUCCAAAAGUUCUUGCUUUCAAAGUCAUGCUCUGAUACAGAACUUUGAAUCAAUUAAAAUAGAAAUAAUCUCUGAAUAAAAUAAGCCUAGCUUAUCUGUAGAAAAUUGAGAAAGGCAAGAAAUCUGGAUGUUUCUCAAGUAAAAUAAAGAAUAUCAGUCUGAAAAGACAAAGACUUCUGAAAAUUGAGCCUAGGGGGACAUGGCUUGAAAGAGACAGCCUUUUUAACAGUUUUUCUAUUAGAAAAUACAUGUAUGAUACUUGAAUUUGUGCUCUAGAAGUAAAGUAACGUGGGAGGAUUUGUUAAGACAGUAUUUCCUGAUAUAAAAUAUUGAUACCAAGAGUUUAGUUUUUCCCAUUCACUUAAUUGAUUUAGAUUUUAGAGAAGAAAUCUAUUUGUUAGUUAACCAUGAUAAAGACAGAGAAGAUUGGUAUGUUUGUCUUUGUCUAAUUUGGCCCUUAUUUCCAAAUACAUAACAUUUCCACCUGAUCAUUUGUUUGCUUUUAAUAUGAUUAUUUUCCAUUCCUAUAUCCACAUGGAAUACAAAAUUUCAAAAGUCUUUGAUAAGCUCAUAGUAAAUUCAUAUGAUAUUUAGUUGUCAUUAUAAAUUUCUAUCUCAGAUCUAGUUCUUUGGUAUGUAAUACAAUUCCCAUGUUUCCCACAUGAAGUCCUCACAACACAGAGAAUCCAAAUAACUUCUCCAUGGACAGUCAGAUAAUAUUAGUAACCCAUUUUCUAAGUCCUUGUUUGGUGUUUUCUUUCUAAUACACCACACUAAAACUUCACUAAAUGUUGAAGUUUUUCUCACAACGUUGCUCUUCCUAUUGUCUGAGAAUAAUUCUUAUAUUUUUCAUACUAUUCAGUGAUAUUUUACCCAAUUAAUCUAAACUUUUCAAAAAUUCUUAUAUUGUAUAAGUAGAUGUGAAUGUAUCAACAUAUUCCAAAGGUCUCUAGUGUGCUUAUACUAAUGAUUUUUUAAAUCUUGGAAAAUGGUAUAGGCUAUCUUAAUGUAGAAACAGAAAAUGAAUCAUAAUUAAAGGAAUAACUUGAUCUUUUACCCUAGUUGGAAAUAUUGCGGUAAAACAAGGGAAAUGUUAAUCACAAGUAUAUCAACUCAGUUUAAUAAGCUUCCAAAUGCAAAUGUCAACUAAAAGAUUGGAUACAAAAAUAUUUGUCAUGCAGUGUAUUCAAUGAAAAAUUUAAAGUAACAUUGUUAAAUAACAGUGACCCCACAAUGUUCUCAUAUCAAAUAACAGAAAUAAAAUCACAUUUUAAUAUACAAUUUAAAAUUAUAUUUACUUUUACUUCACUUUUUAAAUGUUCAAAGCUAUCUUGUUGAAUAAAGAAGAACAGAUCGGCUAUUGGAUUAGGGCAGAAUCAAAGUAAAAUUCUCAGUUUUUGCAAAACCCUGUUCACUUCUGUUGUGCUAUUUAUGAAAAUUGCAUGGUGGUCUGCCACUGCCACAUCUGGGUGACUUGUAAUGCUAACCAUUUAGGGGUGUGAGAAGGUGAUUUUUCACUGUGGGUUCAACCAACUUAUCAAUCAUGAAGCAUGCUCCUUAUACAUAUGUUGCUUAAUGACAAGGAUACAUUCUGAGAAACACAUCCUUAGGCAAUUUUGUCAUUGUAGGAACAACAUAGAAUGUACUUACAGAAACUUACAUGGUAUAGCCUACUAUACACCUAGGCUGUAUGGCAGCCUACUGCUUCUAGACUAGAAACCUGUACAGCCACAUGUUACUAUACUGAAUAAUGUAGCCCAUUGUAACACAAUGGUAAGUAUUUGUGUAUCUAAACACAACUAAAUAUAAAAAAGGCAUAGUAGGAAUACAGUAUUACAAGUUUAUGGGACCACCAUUGUAUAUCCAACCUGUCGCUGAUAGAUACAUCAUUAUGUGCCAUAUGACUACCAAAUCAUUCCUCUAUCAUAGCAGUGAGGGUUCACUAGAAAAAGUGGUGUAACUAUCUUUGUUUCAAAUUCAUCAAGAUAGAAAGUGGAUAUUUCAUCAAGAUAGAAAGUGGAUAUCCUUUUGACCAUUUAAUCCCGUUUAAUAGGUUUUCCUAUUUUAUUAAUUAUAAACAGUAACUGUAAAUGACUAUGUUCAUUCUUUUUCUCAAGCUUUUUAAAAAGGUUGUAGAUAUAAUCCCGAGAUAUGUAGGUAGAUAAACAGACAGACAGAUAGAUUGGCUCUUUAAAAUCUAUUUUGGUGCUCAAAUGAAAAUAAUCCAGUGGAAAAAUUGGCACUGAGAAGUCGCACCUAAAAUAAUCAAUAUUUUGUCCAAAGAAAAAUGUUUUAUGGAUUCACAUAAUUUGGCCAAGAACAAAAUGUUUUAAAUUGUGUAAAGGAUAGAUUUUAAUCCUCAUACCAGCUAAUUAAGCUUCUUCUGUACAACAUACAGUUUUAAGUUAACAGUAAUUAAUAUAGCCAGCUUGGAACCUCAGGAAGCUAAAGCCAGCAAGUGCUUUUUGGUUCACUCGAGAGGAUGCGGUUUGAUUGCUGGCGCCAGUAAACAGGUUGGGAAUUGUCAACAUUGUAAUUAGCAGCAAGUUUCUGGAUUCUCUGCCUGCCAGACUAGUGGGUUGAUGCUUGGAGCAGUUGCCCCAGUGGGGAGAGUGAAAAACAAAGGAAGGGAAUUUGAGCAACCUUGGUAGGCUCUGCCAGCAUAUGCCACUGGACCAAUGUUUUUCUUGGCAAAGGUCUAUUUUAAGACAUCUAGCCGUGGUUUCCAUAAAAUAUGAAACUCACCAUAGCAACCAAAAUGGCAAGUGUCUCUAGGAACCUUUCCUUGAUUGGGUAUCAGGUCAAACUGUGUUCAGAGUGAUAUUGCCUUACGUGCAGUAUGCUGUGUACCGUGUACAAUGUGGUUAUUAACAGUAUGAUUAAAAGGGUUAAAAUCUGUUUUGGCAGCAAUCCUUCAAAAGUCUGCCUCUGCCAAAAAGCCUUCAAAGAAUAAGGUUAUGCAAACCUUAUUAACCCUUCGUGUAGUGCAAAUAGAAAGGAAAUGUCAACCUGAAUACCACCCAGCAUCCAAUCUUCACUACUUACUUAAAUGAUGGUUUCAAUCUAGUUUUCUUAAUUCCAAACCAUGUGAUUGUUAUGAACAAAGGUUGUCAUAGAUUUUAAAUCCAAACCUUAUUGCAGUGACUAUAAGAUGAGGACUACAUUAGUACAGUUUAUAGGUAAUUUAUAACCCAACUGAACAAAAAUUAGACUAUCUUUUGAAACCUACUUAAUAAAAGUUCAUGUUAUAUAUGUAUAGACACACACAUAUGUAAAAUUUCACUCUCUUAGAAUAUUUUAUCUUAUCUAAAAUAAACAACAUGUAUACUCUGAGUAGUCACAGGAUAAAUACUAACCCACCUACCUUGUGGCAAAAGCACGAUAACAAAUCCUUUGGCCUUUUCUUUCUUUCUUUUUUUUUUUUUUUU
RNA transcript from Cercocebus atys (sooty mangabey), 10840 nucleotides. RefSeq lists it as uncharacterized. The record is from RefSeq and is a predicted model, not a curated record. The transcript has a single exon. NCBI's taxonomy places the organism in Eukaryota, Metazoa, Chordata, Mammalia, Primates, Cercopithecidae.